AUUGAACGCUGGCGGAAUGCUUUACACAUGCAAGUCGAACGGCAGCACGGGUGCUUGCACCUGGUGGCGAGUGGCGAACGGGUGAGUAAUGUAUCGGAACGUAUCCAAUAAUGGGGGAUAACUAAUCGAAAGGUUGGCUAAUACCGCAUACGCCCUACGGGGGAAAGCAGGGGAUCUUCGGACCUUGCGUUAAUGGAGCGGCCGAUAUCUGAUUAGCUAGUAGUUGGGGUAAAGGCCCACCUAGGCGACGAUCAGUAGCUGGUCUGAGAGGACGACCAGCCACACUGGAACUGAGACACGGUCCAGACUCCUACGGGAGGCAGCAGUGGGGAAUUUUGGACAAUGGGGGCAACCCUGAUCCAGCCAUUCCGCGUGAGUGAAGAAGGCCUUCGGGUUGUAAAGCUCUUUCGCAAGGGAAGAAACGAUACAGUCGAAUAAACUGUGUUAAUGACGGUACCUUGAUAAGAAGCACCGGCUAACUACGUGCCAGCAGCCGCGGUAA
This 502-nucleotide ribosomal RNA is filed under the name uncultured bacterium. Its description in RNAcentral is "partial 16S ribosomal RNA". It matches the Rfam family "Bacterial small subunit ribosomal RNA", at positions 30 to 523 of the family's 1533-position model. The record is from RNAcentral.